GAUUAUGACGUACUUGUACUGAUUGAGAUUUUAACACGAAGUGAGUGGCGAACGGGUGAGUAACACGUGGGUAACCUGCCCAGAAGUAGGGGAUAACACCUGGAAACAGAUGCUAAUACCGUAUAACAGAGAAAACCGCAUGGUUUUCUUUUAAAAGAUGGCUCUGCUAUCACUUCUGGAUGGACCCGCGGCGUAUUAGCUAGUUGGUGAGGUAAAGGCUCACCAAGGCAGUGAUACGUAGCCGACCUGAGAGGGUAAUCGGCCACAUUGGGACUGAGACACGGCCCAGACUCCUACGGGAGGCAGCAGUAGGGAAUCUUCCACAAUGGACGCAAGUCUGAUGGAGCAACGCCGCGUGAGUGAAGAAGGGUUUCGGCUCGUAAAGCUCUGUUGUUAAAGAAGAACGUGGGUAAGAGUAACUGUUUACCCAGUGACGGUAUUUAACCAGAAAGCCACGGCUAACUACGUGCCAGCAGCCGCGGUAAU
This 486-nucleotide ribosomal RNA is filed under the name Pediococcus pentosaceus. RNAcentral's name for it is "bacterial SSU rRNA". It matches the Rfam family "Bacterial small subunit ribosomal RNA", at positions 64 to 524 of the family's 1533-position model. The record is from RNAcentral. Lineage: Bacteria; Bacillati; Bacillota; Bacilli; Lactobacillales; Lactobacillaceae.